GUGCCAGCAGCCGCGGUAAUACCAGCUCCCCGACUGGUCGGGACGAUUAUUGGGUCUAAAGCGUCCGUAGCCGGCCCUGUAUGUGAUCCGUUAAAUCCAGCGGCUCAACCGCUGGGCUGCGGAUCAUACUAUGGGGCUAGGGGACGGGAGAGGCCGGAGGUACUCCGCGGGUAGGGGUAAAAUCCGCUGAUCCGCGGAAGACCAACAGUGGCGAAGGCGUCCGGCCAGAACGCGCCCGACGGUGAGGGACGAAAGCCAGGGGAGCGAACCGGAUUAGAUACCCGGGUAGUCCUGGCCGUAAACGAUGCCCGCUAGGUCUUGGUGAAGCUUAGGGUUUCAUCAGGGCCGCAGGGAAGCCGUUAAGCGGGCCACCUGGGGAGUACGGCCGCAAGGCUGAAACUUAAAGGAAUUGGCGGGGGAGCACCACAAGGGGUGAAGCCUGCGGUUUAAUUGGAGUCAACGCCGGAAACCUUACCCGGGGCGACAGCAGGAUGAUGGCCAGGCUAAAGACCUUACCUGACAAGCCGAGAGGAGGUGCAUGGCCGUCGUCAGCUCGUGCCGUGAGGUGUCCGGUUAAGUCCGGCAACGAGCGAGACCC
Molecule: ribosomal RNA, 598 nt
Filed under: uncultured archaeon
Lineage: Archaea
Description: SSU rRNA
Rfam family: Archaeal small subunit ribosomal RNA
Source: RNAcentral